UAUGCACGCCACUGUUUGCAAACCACGCCUACAAGACAUCACGGAAGCCAUGAUUGUGUAGCGAAACGACCGAUAACUCUCAUAACAACAACAAAAUAUACAAUACCAUAAUGGUGCACUUCCAUCUGUUACCCAAAAAUCACCAAAACAAAUUGAAUGGCCUCCGCAGACUUCUUCACCAACCGCAAAUAGUCGUAAAAUAUAGACCAACAAAUCACUUCAGUCAAAAAGAGCUCGUAAAAAAAACCCUUUGAACAAUAAGAAGAUGACAAAAAAAAUAUAUCUAAUUGACAAUCUUCCGUCAAAACAAACAGUUACAAGAUUAUUUUACUAUCCUUUUUUAUGGAUUUUUUAUGCGGCCCUAGACACAAUAGCGUAGUACAUAAAAUUUGAAGAGGGCCAUAACUUUGCCUCGGAAUCACUUGAACUAAACUCCGAAUGCGAUGGGCUAAACAAAAAAAAAAAAAAAAUCAUCGCACGAUAACUGAUUGUCUGAUCGUAAAAUUGUCGUAAAAAUGAAAACGACCUUCACCCUGAUCAUCACGCUGCUGCCGUAUCGCAUCAGUCUGUCAGAAUAGUCACAGAAAUGUGACAUAACAAUCAACCAAAAAAAAAACGUAGUUCAGACGCACUCUUUGUUCUCAUUUUUAUGUAUUUUUUAUUUGUUAAGUCUUGUGGUUGGAUAAGAGAGAGACACUAUGUGGAUACACAACAAGUGGCACAGAGGGCGCUAAGUCGUAAAAGAGGUCAUAAACGUCUACGGAAGCAAAAGAUUACCCGUAACUGUAAGCCACUAUGAGCACAGAGAGCGCAUGUAAAAUGUAUUUAUUCAGUGAUUGUCGGAGGAUGCUUUCUUUUGACAGCCAAUGUCAAGUGAGUGGUUAAACAUAUAAAAAUGGAGAUACUAGGACAGACCGUGCGUUUUAUUUGUUCCGAAUUUUACGACUAACCUCACACGUUUUGUCCUCAAAUCGAAUCAGCAGCGGGUUUAAUUCCGAGAUGGUAGCAGAGUGGACCCCACAUAGGCAACAUGUCAGAUUGGUGUCUCCUCAAGAAGCGUUUUUACGACCACGGAUAGGCUGGUUCUUGUUCUCGUGUGUUUCGGUAACUGGCUGAAGCCAUUUCAGACCACAUAAAAUCAAAGGCGGACACUUGUGAUAUCUGCUAAAACGCCACCAGAAACAAUCUCGCCAAUGCCAUAGCCAUCAUCAUCACAACCACCACCAAUAACAUCGUCAUCAUUACCAUCAUCAUCAUCAUGAACGCCCGAACCAAACCAAACCGAAAAACCACCAUCAACUUAAUUCUCGGCUGCGCUGCGGCGGCAACACA
Molecule: long non-coding RNA, 1332 nt
Organism: Episyrphus balteatus (marmalade hoverfly)
Lineage: Eukaryota; Metazoa; Arthropoda; Insecta; Diptera; Syrphidae
Exons: 3
Source: RefSeq, a predicted model, not a curated record